This 702-nucleotide ribosomal RNA is filed under the name Dendrobium aqueum. Its description in RNAcentral is "eukaryotic LSU rRNA". The stretch from base 262 to 417 matches the Rfam family "5.8S ribosomal RNA". Lineage: Eukaryota; Viridiplantae; Streptophyta; Magnoliopsida; Asparagales; Orchidaceae. The record is from RNAcentral.
UUUCCGUAGGUGAACCUGCGGAAGGAUCAUUGUCGAGACCUAUCGAGCGAUCUUGAGAACCCGUCAAAAUAAGCGGUGGCUAUUGUUGCUGAGAUAAAGUCCAUCCCGAUCAUCACCUCAUCCCUUCUUUGUGGCGGGACGUGAUGAAGGAUGGAUGAACUCUCAAAUCGGCGCAGUGUCGCGCCAAGGGAAUAUCGAAACACGACCCCUAAAAUGGGAUAUAUGGAACGGGGUGCUAUUACACGCCAUAUGGAUUGACAUGACUCUCGGCAAUGGAUAUCUCGGCUCUCGCAUCGAUGAAGAGCGCAGCGAAAUGCGAUACGUGGUGCGAAUUGCAGAAUCCCGUGAACCAUCGAGUCUUUGAACGCAAGUUGCGCCCGAGGCCAAUCGGCCAAGGGCACGUCUGCCUGGGCGUCAAGCAUUUAAUCGCUCCGUGCCUAGCCAUCCAUUGAUGGAUGUGUUGGCGAAGGCUCGGAUGUGCACGGUGGCUCGUCGUGCCCCUUGGUGCGGCGGGCUGAAGAGCGGGUCAUCAUCUCGUUGGUUGCGAACAAUAAGGGGUGGAUUAAAUUGAGGCCUAUGCUAUUGUGUCAUGCAUGCCUAAGAGAUGAUUAUACCUUUGACGUGAUCCCAAAUCAUGCGUCGAUCCAUGGAUGGCGUUUUGAAUGCGACCCCAGGAUGGGCGAGGCCACCCGCCGAGUUUAA